UACGUAGGUGGCAAGCGUUGUCCGGAUUUAUUGGGUUUAAAGGGUGCGUAGGCGGCCCUAUAAGUCAGUGCUGAAAUAUCCCGGCUUAACCGGGAGGGUGGCAUUGAUACUGUAGGGCUUGAGUAAAGUUGAGGUUGGCGGAAUUGACGGUGUAGCGGUGAAAUGCUUAAAUAUCGUCAAGAACACCUAUUGCGAAGGCAGCUAACUAAGCUUUAACUGACGCUGAGGCACGAAAGUGUGGGGAUCAAACAGG
RNAcentral lists this ribosomal RNA (253 nucleotides) under uncultured bacterium. RNAcentral describes it as "partial 16S ribosomal RNA". It matches the Rfam family "Bacterial small subunit ribosomal RNA", at positions 524 to 776 of the family's 1533-position model. The record is from RNAcentral.